CCUACGGGGGGCUGCAGUGGGGAAUAUUGCACAAUGGGCGCAAGCCUGAUGCAGCCAUGCCGCGUGUGUGAAGAAGGCCUUCGGGUUGUAAAGCACUUUCAGCGGGGAGGAAGGCGUUAAGGUUAAUAACCUUGUCGAUUGACGUUACCCGCAGAAGAAGCACCGGCUAACUCCGUGCCAGCAGCCGCGGUAAUACGGAGGGUGCAAGCGUUAAUCGGAAUUACUGGGCGUAAAGCGCACGCAGGCGGUCUGUCAAGUCGGAUGUGAAAUCCCCGGGCUCAACCUGGGAACUGCAUUCGAAACUGGCAGGCUAGAGUCUUGUAGAGGGGGGUAGAAUUCCAGGUGUAGCGGUGAAAUGCGUAGAGAUCUGGAGGAAUACCGGUGGCGAAGGCGGCCCCCUGGACAAAGACUGACGCUCAGGUGCGAAAGCGUGGGGAGCAAACUGGAUUAGAUACCGGGUAGUC
RNAcentral lists this ribosomal RNA (464 nucleotides) under uncultured Klebsiella sp. Its description in RNAcentral is "bacterial SSU rRNA". It matches the Rfam family "Bacterial small subunit ribosomal RNA", at positions 338 to 795 of the family's 1533-position model. Lineage: Bacteria; Pseudomonadati; Pseudomonadota; Gammaproteobacteria; Enterobacterales; Enterobacteriaceae. The record is from RNAcentral.